This 471-nucleotide ribosomal RNA is filed under the name uncultured bacterium. RNAcentral's name for it is "bacterial SSU rRNA". It matches the Rfam family "Bacterial small subunit ribosomal RNA", at positions 29 to 480 of the family's 1533-position model. The record is from RNAcentral.
AACGAACGUUAGCGGCGCGCUUAACACAUGCAAGUCGAGCGAGAAAGGGGCAACCCCGGUAAAGCGGCGCACGGGUGAGUAACACGUAGGUAAUCUACCCUCGGGUGGAGGAUAACUUUCCGAAAGGAAGGCUAAUACUGCAUGAGACCACGACCUCGAAAGGGGAUGGGGUCAAAGCCGGCCCUCUGUACACAAGCUGGCGCCUGAGGAUGAGCCUGCGGCCCCAUCAGCUAGUUGGUAGGGUAAUGGCCUACCAAGGCGAAGACGGGUAGCUGGUCUGAGAGGAUGAUCAGCCACACUGGAACUGAGACACGGUCCAGACUCCUACGGGAGGCAGCAGUAGGGAAUCUUGCGCAAUGGGCGAAAGCCUGACGCAGCGACGCCGCGUGAGUGAUGAAGGCCUGGUGUAAGCUCUGUGGAGAGGGACGAAGUAAGUGUUGGACGUAACAUCCACGCAUGAUGACGGUACCU